CGUGCUUAACACAUGCAAGUCGAACGAUGACUCUGUGCUUGCACAGAUGAUUAGUGGCGAACGGGUGAGUAACACGUGAGUAACCUGCCCUUGACUCUGGGAUAAGCCUGGGAAACUGGGUCUAAUACUGGAUAUGCACCGUGGACCGCAUGGUUCUUGGUGGAAAGAUUUUAUUGGUCAAGGAUGGACUCGCGGCCUAUCAGCUUGUUGGUGAGGUAAUGGCUCACCAAGGCGACGACGGGUAGCCGGCCUGAGAGGGUGACCGGCCACACUGGGACUGAGACACGGCCCAGACUCCUACGGGAGGCAGCAGUGGGGAAUAUUGCACAAUGGGCGAAAGCCUGAUGCAGCGACGCCGCGUGAGGGAUGACGGCCUUCGGGUUGUAAACCUCUUUCAGUAGGGAAGAAGCGAAAGUGACGGUACCUGCAGAAGAAGCGCCGGCUAACUACGUGCCAGCAGCCGCGGUAAUACGUAGGGCGCAAGCGUUAUCCGGAAUUAUUGGGCGUAAAGAGCUCGUAGGCGGUUUGUCGCGUCUAUCGUGAAAGUCCGAGGCUCAACCUCGGAUCUGCGGUGGGUACGGGCAGACUAGAGUGAUGUAGGGGAGACUGGAAUUCCUGGUGUAGCGGUGAAAUGCGCAGAUAUCAGGAGGAACACCGAUGGCGAAGGCAGGUCUCUGGGCAUUAACUGACGCUGAGGAGCGAAAGCAUGGGGAGCGAACAGGAUUAGAUACCCUGGUAGUCCAUGCCGUAAACGUUGGGCACUAGGUGUG
Molecule: ribosomal RNA, 770 nt
Filed under: Micrococcaceae bacterium
Lineage: Bacteria; Bacillati; Actinomycetota; Actinomycetes; Micrococcales; Micrococcaceae
Description: bacterial SSU rRNA
Rfam family: Bacterial small subunit ribosomal RNA
Source: RNAcentral